Molecule: ribosomal RNA, 709 nt
Filed under: uncultured bacterium
Lineage: Bacteria
Description: bacterial SSU rRNA
Rfam family: Bacterial small subunit ribosomal RNA
Source: RNAcentral
UGCAGUCGACGGUGAAGAGGAGCUUGCUCCUUGGAUCAGUGGCGAACGGGUGAGUAACACGUGAGCAAUCUGCCCUUGACUCUGGGAUAACUGCGGGAAACUGUAGCUAAUACCGGAUAUUACCUUGGAAGGCAUCUUCUGGGGUGGAAAGAAUUUUGGUCAAGGAUGAGCUCGCGGCCUAUCAGCUAGUUGGUGAGGUAAUGGCUCACCAAGGCGACGACGGGUAGCCGGCCUGAGAGGGUGACCGGCCACACUGGGACUGAGACACGGCCCAGACUCCUACGGGAGGCAGCAGUGGGGAAUAUUGCACAAUGGGCGCAAGCCUGAUGCAGCAACGCCGCGUGAGGGACGACGGCCUUCGGGUUGUAAACCUCUUUUAGUAGGGAAGAAGCGACUGGGUUUUCCUGGGAGUGACGGUACCUGCAGAAAAAGCACCGGCUAACUACGUGCCAGCAGCCGCGGUAAUACAUAGGGUGCAAGCGUUGUCCGGAAUUAUUGGGCGUAAAGAGCUCGUAGGCGGUUUGUCGCGUCUGCUGUGAAAACCCGAGGCUCAACCUCGGGCCUGCAGUGGGUACGGGCAGACUAGAGUGCGGUAGGGGAGAUUGGAAUUCCUGGUGUAGCGGUGGAAUGCGCAGAUAUCAGGAGGAACACCAAUGGCGAAGGCAGAUCUCUGGGCCGUAACUGACGCUGAGGAGCGAAAGCAUGGGGA